AGAAGCAGAGAAGGGAGGCUCUCCUAAGAGGAGCAGAGCCCGUGCGCACAGCUGAUGCACCAGCUGCUGCUGCUGUCGCACCGCCAGCCCGUGAACCAGCGGCGGCAGCCCCAGCUGCAGCAGCUGCCGCAACUGGUGCUGCUCCUAGCAAGUAUGUCCCGAAGUGGAGACGUGAGGGUGACAGUAGCAGUCAGAGGCCGGCUGUGGCAGCUGAACCAGACAGGUGGGUCCGGGAUGAUCGUCCUCGCCCUGCUCUCCGCCAGGAGGCUCCUCCUAUGCGCGAUGCUCGUCCCAUCCGCCAAGAAGCUCCUCCUGCACGUGAUGCGCGUCCCUUCCGCCAGGAGGCUCCCCCUGCCAUGCGCCAAGAGGCGCCCCCUGCUGCCCGCCAGCCGGACGGUGCUGCUCCAGCUGCAUCUACUGAACGCUGGCGUCCUGGAUCUAGGACCUCUGCAAAUUCCUCAUCCACCUCCUCGUCCACCGGCUGGAGGCGCUGAAGCUGCCUGGCCUGAAAUGCGCUGUGCUCUGCCUGCUGUAUGAGAUUUUUGCCGUCCAUCUUCCAAGUCUGGGAGCUUCAUGCACAAUGGAAGCCUGCCACUGAUAUCUGGAAGCACGGUUACUUGAAUUUGCUUGUUGCGCACCUAAAUUUUCGAAUUGCAACUUUGCACUAUUUCUCAGUCAUGUUUGAUGUUUUGAGAGUCACGGUACUCAAUGCAUAAUGUGUUGCUCUUUGUUGUCGUUUAUGUUCCAGACUAUGCUGUUGGUUCGUCGAGUAUGCAUAAUGAAAGCUACCGCUGAAUUUUUGUGAUCCUCAG
This 812-nucleotide long non-coding RNA is filed under the name Triticum aestivum (bread wheat). RNAcentral describes it as "long non-coding RNA (TAES_LNC026609)". Lineage: Eukaryota; Viridiplantae; Streptophyta; Magnoliopsida; Poales; Poaceae. The record is from RNAcentral.